RNAcentral lists this ribosomal RNA (391 nucleotides) under Ensifer sp. CL4.91. RNAcentral's name for it is "bacterial SSU rRNA". It matches the Rfam family "Bacterial small subunit ribosomal RNA", at positions 1 to 428 of the family's 1533-position model. Lineage: Bacteria; Pseudomonadati; Pseudomonadota; Alphaproteobacteria; Hyphomicrobiales; Rhizobiaceae. The record is from RNAcentral.
UUGAGCUUGAUCCCGGCUCAGAACGAACGCUGGCGGCAGGCUUAACACAUGCAAGUCGAGCGCCCCGCAAGGGGAGCGGCAGACGGGUGAGUAACGCGUGGGAAUCUACCCUUUUCUACGGAAUAACGCAUGGAAACGUGUGCUAAUACCGUAUGAGCCCUUCGGGGGAAAGAUUUAUCGGGAAAGGAUGAGCCCGCGUUGGAUUAGCUAGUUGGUGGGGUAAAGGCCUACCAAGGCGACGAUCCAUAGCUGGUCUGAGAGGAUGAUCAGCCACAUUGGGACUGAGACACGGCCCAAACUCCUACGGGAGGCAGCAGUGGGGAAUAUUGGACAAUGGGCGCAAGCCUGAUCCAGCCAUGCCGCGUGAGUGAUGAAGGCCCUAGGGUUGUAA